Molecule: long non-coding RNA, 12269 nt
Organism: Tympanuchus pallidicinctus (lesser prairie-chicken)
Lineage: Eukaryota; Metazoa; Chordata; Aves; Galliformes; Phasianidae
Exons: 3
Source: RefSeq, a predicted model, not a curated record
AGGAAAAGAGAUAAGACUUUCUCUUUGGGAGGAAAGCGCGCUCUCACCGGGGUUCUGAGGACACGUCAUGCUAAUUGUUGGUGACUUUUAAAACUGCUCUUUGUGGUGCAAGAGACGAAAAAUUCCGUGUAGACUGAGGGCUUUCCAAAACGCUAAAUGCUUUCUUUUGCUUGGUAAGUUGUUUCUUCAUGUGUUUUAUUUCUGUGGCAGAUGUUAACCAAGGGACGUGAAAUUCCUGCCAGAGAACACGCUGCUUUUGGUGCUCACACGGCUGCUGGUGCUCACCUUUGACAGAAGCCAAGGCUCUGUGUUGGGACUUGGGCCACACCGGCUGUGGGGCUUGGGGUCCCUCAGAGCCCUGCUGCCUCCUCAGCCCCACUGCCUGUCAGCACUCCUGCUGCUUCCACGCCGCUGAGGCCUGGUGCUGGGAGUGUCACAGACGCUCUGUUUCACGUUUCCUCUGUUGCUUUGUUUGUCACCACGGAAUGUAUUUUUACUGAAGAUUUUUAGCAUUUUUAGCUUCCUUUUUUGAAGCUGUUUUUUUUUUCUUCUUCCAAACCAUCGCUCCUGUGUGAAAAACUGGCCUCCCUGAUUGUCUGCAGGCCCUGCUCCUCAGCCUUUUUUCCAGCUUUUGAUUGUCCCUUAAUUUUCUGCUACUGCUGGGGGGGCACACUGCAGCUUUGCUCCCUUCUUUCUUCCUGCACCAAUCUCUGGGUCAGGCCCGAAGACAUCUUGAGAACAGCAGCUCACAGAACUUGCUUUCAAGCAAUAACUUCUCCCCAGCCAUGCAGAGAUCUUUUACAUCUUGUUUUGGUAGGCUCUCACACUUCCCCCACUACCUCCCUGGUCUUUGGCUUUUACACAGUCAGUUGAUCUUUUCUUCCCCUUCCCUAAACCUUUCGUCUUGCCUGCUUCCUCAGAGGUGGCUGACAGCGUCAGUUCUUCCAGAGUUGAUGGUUUUUAAUGCAGGUGUCCUCUCUACAUUCUUGUGUGCAUAGUCCGGAAGACUGCAUGCUAGUAUGGCUGGCAGGUUUUCCUAUCAGAGCAAUGAGUACUUUGAUUCUCCUGCUAGAUAGACAAGACUUUGUGGAGGCUUCCCUCCAGCUUCCCAUACACGUUCUGCUGUCUGCUUCUGGGCUGUCCGGCUCACCAUUCUGGUUAACAGCUCUGACCACAUCACUGCUGGCACCCUCAUUCCCUCCCAAAACACAGUCUUCCCUCCUUGGCCCUUCCCAGACCUCCUCUUCCCUCAUCCCUGCCUUCUGCCUUACCACACUCACUCUCUCCUCCCUUCUGCUGGUCCACUAAAGCCAGAUUAUCUGCCCUCCCUCUCUCCCUGCUAGUUCAUCUCCUGUAAUGCCUUCACAUUUUUGGGGGGCCUAACGGCAGGCAUUGCAAACCUGGGUAUUUAUUUACUAGAUAUGCCCAUAUCCAUAAACUCCCAAAAAUUUCACCUCAUCCUUGGAUCUCCUGGUGGCUGAGACCCCCGCACUGAGGCAUUUCACACAUGUUUUUUUUGCAAGGUGACCUUUCAGAGUAGUGGCACUUGGUCUUGAGCAGGCGUCCACCUCAGUAGAUGACUUGGGUUGACACAAUCAGUGGGGAUUUUUUGCUCCUGAUAGGGGAAUUCCAAGCGCCAGCUGCAGCCCUGAGGUCUGUCAGGGAGGAAAGAGGUGAGAGGGAUGAGCUCCAGAGAUCUUUCUGCCUCGGGUGGGGAUGAAGAGAGGGAGCAGAAGUAGAACGUUUCCUAUAUGGACUCUUUGUUGAGGAAAUGGGCUGACAAACUUUCCUGCUCUGAGAGGCAGCCCUAAUAGUAAUAACAAGGACAAAGAAAAAUCUUGCUGCUAUUCACUGUAGAGAUGGGAUUAUCACUCAGGCUAAGUGCAGUGCCAACCUGAAGUAAGCCAGUACUUGCACAAUGUGUACAAACCACUUGGAUGUCCCCCUUCUGAAGACAUGUUCCCAGCAGGUGCUCAGGGUGUGGUUCCAUCCAGUGUGCUGCUUUUCCUGUUUCAGAACUGCGAAAGAACAUGUGCUUCAUGUGUUUACUUAGAGUAACCCACCCGGAGAUCAUUACUUUUGUUGUUAACAAACCUAUGCUUCAUUUGUUCAUAUACCAGAAAAUAAAAUAGCAUAAAUUAUUUGGAUGUAAUGUCUUAGUUUCAGCUGGAAUUGAAUUGUUUGAGUGUCUGGUAUGAUGCUAUGUUUUGAUUCUAGGAGGAAAACAGUGUUGAUAAUUCACUGAUGUUUAUAGCUGCUGCUAAGCAGUGUUAUACAGACCCAAGGCUGUUCUCAAUGAAGGGCCCAAGGAGCUGAAAGGAAACAGAAUUAAGACCGUUGAUUUAAACUGGCUGAAGAGAUAUUCUGUAUCAUAUUACAUCAAGUGGAAGGAGUUAUGAAGGGGGAGGAGUUCAUCUCUGGUCCCCACUGCUGCCUGGGGGGCUAGCUGGCCAAGGGUGGUGAGCAAUUGCUUGCCCAUCACUUGUUAUAUGCAUUCAUAUGUGUAUAUACAUAUAUAUAUAUAUACACACACACACAUACACACACAUUUAUAUGAUCUUUUUCCUUUUCUCUAUCUUAGUAAAUAGUUCUAGCUCAAUCCAUGAGUUCUACUUUGUUAGUGAUUCUCUCCUCUAUCUCACUGGGAAGAGUUGGAGUGAGCAAAUGGCUCAUGGUGGUGCUGAGCCACCUUCCAGGUUAAACCACAACACUUAGAUUUUCAGCAUCACUCUUCCAGAUAGGGGUUCUCCAGGAAUCCCAACUUUUUGCUAGAUAAAAUGAUCUCAGAAGAGAAAAACAGCUAACAGACCAAAUACAAAGAGGAAAUGCUAGCAGUGCAUUACAAUCAAAAGAAAAAAUGACAGAGCUGGUUGGUCCAUUGAUUUCUUCUGUACUGAUCAUAAAUUGUAAGUAAGCCGACUACUGUAGAGAUGCUAAACAAAGCAUGUAAGAUUAUUUAAAAUUUAGAAGACCUGUAAUAGCAAUGAGGAAAUGAACGCGACAGAAAGGAACCUUGAAAGGUCAGCAAGCAGAUUAAAUGUUGAAACAGUACAGACCAGUUCAUCUAACAAAACACUGACCAAGGCAUAAAGUGCAACAUGAGAAGUGGGAGCACAUUCCGGCAAACAAAUGACCCCGGUGUAUUUCCCAUGCAGAAAACCUACGAAGUGGCUGAUGUAGCUCAGUUGAUCAAAUGGCCCUGUACCUCAGGGCAAGCCUGCACAGCUAGCACAGGGGUAAAUCCUCACAGUACCUGCAGUCACUACUGCAUAUAGAAGAAAGACAACAGUGCAGAUUGCCUUCCGCUCUGUGUUUCAUAUUGCUCUCCCUUUCUCCUUCAGAUCACAAUUUUUUUAUUUAAAGCACAAUUUUUUUUACAGGGAUCAGAUUCAAAAUGAGAGAUAUUUUCAUGUGAUAACCCUGUAGAAAGAAAGUGGAGUUUCACUGCUGUGAACAGUUGUAGAAUGAAGGGAGUGUGUCCACAUUCCAUUUUAUUACCUGCUUCUUUGUUUUCCCUUCCCAGUGGGCACAGAGAGCGUUUGCUUUUACAUGUGUGCCCAAACAGAUUCAGGAUCUAUAGCUGAGGGAGAAUUUAAGCCCUUCAAAAUCACUGGAAGAACCUGCUGAGUUAAUUUUUAGCACAGUCAGUUUUGCAGUUUGGGGUUGGCUGGACUUCUGAUAUAUUGCUGGAGUUUCAUGGUUACUGGCAAAGUGACCAGAGAAGUAUUUCACAGAGUCAUCUAAAGGAGAAAAGAAAACAUCCUAACAGAAGACAUUCCAGCAGAUGACUUAACUUUUAAAAAUCCAUUUUGAAAUUUGUGUAUAUAACUCUACAUUGUACACAAAAUUGUAGCAGAAAACCCGCUUCUAAUUUCUCUUUUCCUACAUCAGUAAGUAUAUUGCCCAGUAAAGAUAUGUUCAAGUACAUUUUGUAAGAGAUAAUAUAAACCUAAGAGUAUAAGGAGUGACGAACACUUGUUCUCAAAAAAUGGUGUAACAGAUUUGAUGCUAAUUCGUAGUUCACUGUCUGACUAGUCCAUGUAAUGUCUCAUUUAAAGCCCUGUGAUGUUUUGCUAAUAGGAUUCUUUUCAUUGAGCUCUGUAUAAGUAUGUCUGUAUAACCUUGGUAUUAGUCACUUAAUUAACCAUUAAUUAAAUUAAUACAUAGUGUUUAAAAUCUGCAUCUUGCUAGUAUACAAUAGGACAGCUUUUGAAUAUAACAGCAACUUAUGUUGAAAUAUUUUCUUGUAUUUUUUAAGAGUGUGAGCACACUUCCUAGACUCAAAAUACUCAGACUUACUGGCUCCCACAGAAAAAAAAAAAAAAAAGAAUAAAAUUAUUCAAAUGGCAAAGCUGCAAAACUACAGUUCAAAGGGUGAAACUUUUCCAAAGUGAUCCAGUAAUAAUAAAUGUAAAUUUUGCAAUGACCACUUGGUGUCAUCUAGUCAGAGCUAGUUUGUUAGAUUCUUGUUCUAGGCUUGGUGUUAGUGUUAAGAAAAAGGCAUUUAAUCUUGAUUAUCUGAGAGCUCAUGGCCCAGUGUUAGCUCCUAUUCUCUGUAGGUGAGAUCCUCAGAGGCGGUAUUGCGCAGUCAUUGGAAGACCACCAACCUAACAAUUGCAGUCUCUCUUAGGAAGGCUGCUCUGGGUGCAGGCCAUAGUGUACUACUUGAGUCUUUUUUGCCCUGAUUGUACAGUUAUUUUGCUGCCAGCACCUGUGGUGAGCAGAAAAGGUGAUUACAUCUUGCUCAGUCUAUCUGAGGUCAAAACCUAGGGUUCAGUAAGUGGUAGACAGAACUAUCAGGUGGCAACAGAGGAACCCUUAGGAGCUCCUGUGAAAAUCUGGCGUCAGCUCAGAGCAGCUCCACUCACUCAGCUGCAUGAGCAGGCAACUACUUUGCCGGUUUGCCAGUGAGAGGAAAACGCUCAGCCCUUGAAUGAGACAAACAACUCCAGGUCUCCUGGGGGGAAGCACAUUUUUCAAGAACUCCUUGUGAGGUGAAACACUUGGAAUAUUUUUUCCUUUGUGAAGGGCCUCCUCUGUUCUGCUCCCCAGUCGGGCGACCCCGCAGAGAGUUACACCCAGCAAAUGGGUAAUUGCUUGGAACUUGGAACUGAGGCUUGGAAAAUCUUUUUGUGUUUAAAUCUGUACCUAAUCAAACGUCUACUCGCUCUGUGAGGAGAGAGCAUAGAGCAGAGCAGGAGAAUAUUUCACAUUGGUCGAAAUGAAAGAUAAGGUUUUGAUUUGAUGGCUUUGCUGACCACUUGCACUCGGUUUGCCAAGAGACUUGUGUAGGGAGAGGAUGUUUUUGUAAGGGUUUUAUUUGUUUCAUGUAUCAGUUUGUUGUAUUAAAUGUUUAUGAUGGUUACCUUUGCUGCUUAUAGACUAAAGAAUCUGAUUGUGUUUGGUGCUGUUUACCACAAAAAGUGUAAUACUGGGAGCGUAACGGGACUGUGAAAAAACAGAGGUAGAAAUAAGGACAAUUAGUAAAAUGCAACAAAUAUGUAGUUGGUUACUUACCAAAAAGAAAAUAGUCAUAGUUUGUCAGCACUGUGAUGAUCUAGUUAUCCAAAGAUCAGACUAUUGCAAAUUGAUGUUGACAAACUGGGGGGAAUUCACAUAAAAGAACUCAAACCACUGUUGGACUUUAAGGGCUGGUUUAUGGGAAAGAUUAAAACAGCUAGAUAAAGCCUGUCUGUCUAGGUACUUGCAUAACAGUAAUGAAUGUGAUGCAUUGUGCUGCGUGGUGAAGGACUUGGUGGAAGCUGAGGGAAUCCAGUGACCACUUACAAAGUUGUAGGCUGCAAGCACGAAGAAAAGAAAAAAAGUGGAUGAGGAUUGCUGAAGGAGCACAAGUGCUAAGAUGAAAAGGAGGAAAGCUCAUGCCAAACACUAGGAAAAAUUACCUCCUGUGAGAACUGUUAGUCUGUGGUCAGAAGUUAUACAAAACCCCUCAGUUGAGUCAUUUAAACUGAAUUGUAAAAAACACUCUAGAAAAUAUGCUGUAUUGGCACAGGGUGAGCUUAGAUCGGGAACAACCAGUCUACCCCCUGGUUUCCUUUUUCCCAAGGGCCAUUUACAGCUAGCAUGGUAGAUAUUAUUUGACUUAGCAAGAAGCAGAAUGCAUAUGGCUGGAGGCAAAGAAGGAAAAUUCAAUGCAUGGAUUUUGUGCAUGGUGAGAGCUCAAUGGCUUCUCUGUGCAGAUGCAGUAGCCCCACGGGCAUGACAUGUGGCACAGACAGGCAGGAACUAAGCUUGAUACAAGUUUUUUAUCAACUCUGAUCUGAUCUGCCCUACAUCACUGUUCAUUCUGUGUGAAGAGGAUUUGCUAGAAGACACAAUGAAGACAGAGGGCUGUCCAGUCACGCCUGUUGAUCCCGUGUUCACGUUUCAUGGUCAAUUGUGUCUGUGCAAGGGAAGAGACAGGCAGCAGGCUCGCCAAGACAUGGCCCCUCACUGCUCUGAUGUGCAUCACCUCUCUCUCCUGCCUCCACAGGUUUCCCACAUUUUUGGCCAAGGAGAAAAACAGUUGAGACUGUGACUGUGAGCAUGUUUCCUUCCUGUCUUGUGUUGGUAAGGCAGGAGUUACAGGGAUUUGGGGGGAAGCACUACAGCAGCUGGAGAGUCUGGGAAAAAAAGAAGCAUUGCUCUGUUGAGAGCCUCAGGACAAAGGUGCAAAGUGAAAAAAUUAUCUGGUGUGUAGAAAAUGCUAAGUCUGCUUACUCACCCUGCUGAGGUCAGGGUCUUGGUGGUGCUCAUCAUGCACACUCCAUUGCUCCUGUUUGCUUCUCCAGGAGACUGCUCCCUGUGGCUUUACCCCAGCACGGUCACCACAGCAUUGACCUGGCCAAGGAAAUUUAAGAACAGUUUCUAUAAUAAAUGCCAUCUUUAUUUUGAGGGAAAAUGUUAUUAAGCCUCAAUCCUCAAUCCAUAUUUGCUGGAGAAUUUUAUUUUUCAUUUCAUUUACAAAGGCCACCUCAGAGUAUGCUUUGAAGGGAAUGAGCAUGGGUACUUAUUUCCCGAUAGUACUUAUUGCUCCAUCACAGCAAAAUGACCCCAAAGGCAUAAAUAAUUAAUUGUUUAAGCACUUCGUGGGUUUCAGUGUGUUUUUUAUUCACAGUACUCCUUUGAGCUGCAGAAAUGCUUUAUCUGAUUAAAGAUGUUAUUUGUAUUGUUCUGAUGGGCAUGGAAUGGGCUAAGCCUGGUCUGAAGUGAAAAGUGGAAGGACUGAAGCUGUCCUGCUGAGAGAAAGCGGAGAAGGAGAGGAUAAACCUGAGGAAGAGAGAUAGGGGAGAGUUGUGCCUUCUGCUCAUGCUAGUGGGUGCUCACCUGGUGAAAAAAGGGAGGACCAGCAGCAACUGGUCAAGUAAGAUCAGGCGGCAAACCCGGCUUCUCAAGCCUGUGCCACCAGUGGAGCAGAAGCAGACCACAGGGCUGCUGUUGACAACUGUUGACAUCCAAUCCCAGCCCUGUGCUAAGCCAGACCUUUGAAAAAAUAGCCAGACUUAUCUCUUUCUUUCAAAAUCUACCUAGGGAUGCACUGUUUGUUUAUUACAUGCCUCAAAAAUGUGAUGGAUGUGAACAGAUUCUGUUGAAUUUAUGGUCUUUUGGGAUGACAAUAAGAAAAAGAAAAAAAAAAAAGUGCACCUGCAGUUUCUUAUCUUCAUACUCUUUUUGUGGAAAGUAUCCUGCACAAAACCUGCUGCCAGCCCAUGACGUUCUGAUGUGGAGACAAAAAGAUUUUUGGAUUAAUGACAUACAACCUCAUGCCCAGUGAAUGCAACCAGCCUUCCCCAGCAGGGGAAGCCAGACUCAGCUGGAGACUUUCUACUCAUAUGAGUGUGUGGGUUGCAAAACAGCAGGAUGCUCUUCAAAGGAUGUCCUCCAAAAGUGCCUUUGGUCUCCAUACCUGAAGCAUGUUAAAUUUUGGCUAAAUUGCAAAGCAUCUUCCUUUCUUUGUCAAUCUUAAAGUCCUGGUAGCAGAAAGUGGACUUGGCUCCUUUUAAACUGCAGUGGGGUGUAUAAUCUGCUUGAUAAAGCAUCCUUAGCAGAAUAAGAUAGGUAAUCUUUUCUGGAGGAAAAAUGGAGUAAAAGCUCCAGUGAAUAAAUACAAGAUUGUUUUCAACACUCUCCUCCUGGACUCCUGCUGUUGAGUGACUGCAAAAUUCAGAGAGAUUAUUUUGGCAGUUCCAAAAAUCUGUCACACAGAUCGGAGUUUUUUUUUCCCUUGCAUUUGUCAAUGUGUGACUAAGCACAAGUAUUACAGGAAGCAUGGAAAUGUUUGGGCUUUAAAGAAUGGUUGUGGAAAAAGACCUCCUACUGGUUUAACAACUGCUGUUUAAUAAAAUAAUUUUCGGAUGUCCAAAUUGCUGAUUGUUCCGCUGAGGGUUACGUUGUGACCAGAAGGGAUCCCACCAGUCCCAUGUCAUCAGCCUGGGCACUUUGUGAAGUUUUCUGCAGCCAUUUCCUGCUUCAAAACAAUGAAGGAUGAGAGAUGCUCAUCGUUACUCCCUAUGGUGCAGGGAUGUGUUCAUCUCAGUCUCUAGGACGGCAUCAAAAUCUGAGGAGAAGAAGUCAAAACAGUUUCACUGAGGCAGCCAGCAGAUGCCAGGAAGUGUUGCUUAUUGACAUUAAUCAUUACUCUGUUGAUAGCCCUGGGCGUGCUGCUGUAAUUGACCAGAACCAAAUCCAGUAAUCAUAUCAUGGAAAAUAUACAUCACAUUUAUUUCACAUCUGAAUUACAGUAAUAUGAAUUCAUGGCAAAAUUCUCAGUGACUACGUCAGAAGCAGGAGGAGAGCCUUUGUCUGCUAGCACAGAUGUAACUAAGCUGUUAAGCACAGUCUGAUGUGCUUAGGCAGGAGGCUGAGGCUACAUCAAGAAGUUAUCUUGGAUAGGAUCUUGUAGCCUAAAUCCUAUUCAGAUGAAUAUAGAUAAGUCUCUGUAGUUUGUAGUGUUUGUAGAACUGUGUUUUCCAAUUGUGUUUUCUGUUGUUUUCUUUGAGCAUUACCCUUCAAUAGAUGGGGCUGCUACAAUCUCUUCAAAGAAUAUAAAUACUCUAUUAAGAAUGUGUAAAAAGGCCUUCCAAUAAGACAGUUGAAGAAGCAUUUCUUUUUACAAAAUUAUCUACAGAAAAUGAUGAGAACAAACAAACAACAGCUGAACAGUAAAGCAUCAAGAAGAAACACAUCUGAGGUUUAAUUUGAUCACUUUAUGCCUGGGAAACAGAAUGAGGAGUUAGUUAUUGAGCAAUAUUUGUAUCACAUUGACUAUUGUGUUAAUGAAUUCAAUUUUUAUUAAAUAGCAUCAACAUGUUAGAUAUUACACUGGAAAGAAAUGAAGAUCAGUAGUUAGCCAAAGUAGUCAACUGAUGUUCUUUCUAUGGUGAACGCAAAAUCUAUGUUGCUUGUUCAACAAAACAGUUCUUAAAGAGACGAGGCUUGAGAAUACCUUAAGUUGCCAUGAACAGCAGGGUCCAGGGGGAACAGAAAAGAUUUGAUGUCAAAACUUGACUGCAGAUAUUCCUUUUGACCAGUUCUUAGUAUCUUCCCUUACUUAGCUUACUUACUAAGGAAGACAGCUUCUUCAUAAUGAUAAGGAAACAGAGAGGCUGGUGCACGCAGCUGCCUUACCUUCACAAAUUCACUUUGGAGAUCUUUAAAAUUUUCUGUUUCUUUCAUGUUUUCAUCUUUCUUUUUAGUCAUUGUAGUACUUUUAAAUACUGUGGUAUUUAAAAGCUAAACAAAACCCAGAGUGUAGCCUUUUUGUUUCAGUUCUCCAGUGACAGAAAUAUUGCAGUCAACCAAAACUUCAAAAGCUACAAAUUUAAGUUGACUGCUGCCUCUUAUCCAGCCGCAUACUACUUCAGUUUGGGAAGCAUAUGCAUUUUAACAGUGAUUCUCAGUUUUCAAACCUAAUUAUUAGUAGCCAGAGAGAAAUGGUUGAGACAUUUCUGUUUUUCUCUAACUUGAUCCACAUGGGAUCUCCUUUGAAAAACUUGUUGCUGUAAAUUAAGCAAAUCCUUAGGUGAUUUGUUGUCUUAAAACUUCUGAGCCCAGGUUGAAUGUGCUGUACAAUCAUAUUAUUUCCUUGUUGAAAACUGUACACCUUUGGUAAUGAAAUCAGAACACAAUGAAGUUGGAAUCCAUCCUACUGUGACUUUAUCCACAACUUUCUGCUCUAUAUAGACAUGCACUUAAAAGAACUGGUGAAAAAUUCACAGUCCUGCUGCUUUCCCUGCAUCCACCCAUUCCUAGGAAAUGGCUGUCAGGUCAGUUAGUUAUGUCCCAAGAGGAAAAACUUUAAAACCAGAGCUAUCAAGGUUGAAUUUCAUAUUGCUGUACCUCCAGAAAGGUUUGAGUUACAUUAAUGAUGAUUUUGUGGUUGAAUUUCUUGGCCAGGGUGGUAAGUGAAGGACUUCCUGGUAAUGAGAUGCUCACCUAACUGGCUGGAUGUCCAAAUUUUCCUCUUAGUAUUCAGCAAAUCUGUAGGCUGCUUAAAAUUCACCUUUUUCCAUGUAUAUUCUUGGCCCCAGCUGCUUUUCCAAGUGCCAAAACUUUGCUAGGAAAAAAUGAAGACCCAUAAGAAUGCAUACUCUGAUUUUACUUUAUGGAAGAGAAAUCUUUUUCUAUGCUGGCAUUAAACUCCUGAAGGUGAACAAAGAGGGAGACAUGCCUAGAAAUGCACAAAGAAGCUGGGUUAAUUAAGAGAGCUCCCACUGCCCUCCUUCAUGAAAGCUGUUAUGCUUUUGAAACCCUGGAGAUGGUUUCACUGUGAAUUUGUGAGGUUAGGAAUACAGCUGGGAUGCUGAGACUGUGGGCUGGGUGGUAUGUAUAGAAUGUGUUUGAUCAGUUUCCCCAGUUGUAUUAGAAAGAGAUGGCAUAAAAGAAACAGGGUGGAAAUAAGCAGAAAGGAUGAGCAGCUCCCUCUGGGAUAAGUCUGAACUGAUUUAGAUUGCGGGAAAUCACUUUUUAUGUUGAAUGUAUUUUCUUAGAGAUUUCAGUGGGGAGAUUUUUUUUUUCUGGUCUGUAUCAAAAUCACAGAAAAUAUUUGUUAGCCUUCAGAAGCACAUGACUCAAACUUUGCCAUUCAUUUUGCCAGACGUUAGCAAAGCAAGCUAAGGCCCAAAUUUCUGUGUAUACUUUCUUUCAAAUAAUGUACCAAUCUCAUCUCACCCUCAUUAUUUUACACAAUUAACGUUAGUCAGUUUUCAGUGAUUUUCACUGUUCAAAAAAAUACUUUUCUUGCCUGAAACACACCUACUGUGGGUGUACUUGAACACUACUAUCACUGGUCUAAAUACAUGUAAUUGCAGCAUGUUGGACAAACAACAUGGGUGAUGGAAAACAUGGUGCUUCUCUUUAUAAGUCAUUGAAGUUGAACAAUGAAUCUUCAUCGCACCCUGUUAAGCUUACCAAAAUUAAGGUUGUCCAGGAGAUCGUAACACUUUCAUAAAAAGGAGGUACUUACAGCACUGUAAGUUGUAUUUGGAGGCAAAAGCACCUUCAGCUCUCAGUGAGUAUAAAGAAUGGUGCUGACAUGCAUCAGAACGCGUUGUGUCUCCUCUUCCCUGGUGAGCUGGGCUCUGAUCAUCUGAUUCCUGUACCAGCAAGGAGGGAUUUCCUUUGAUGACAGGACCAUGGAUAAACAUGGCAGAAAGUAAAGAGCAUUAAUGAUAACAGAUGUUGUAGUGUUUUGCUGUGUUUACAAGACUCCUCUGUACUUUGUGUAUAAUAUGAAUUAUAUAUAAAUGAUUGAUUCUCAUUUAAUUAAUAUAAGAUGAAAUGGGCAGCUCAGAGCUUCCUAAAGAUGCAAAUAAAGAACUCAGUGUCUGUUUGAGAAACUCUGUGAUUGGACUUGACAGCAGUCAUUAAAAAAUGGUCCUUAAUUAAAUGGGCACCUUUAACUUUUUUCUUGCAAACCACUACUCAGCUCUCUUUCCUUCCUAUGUAAAUAUGGGGGCUGCACUGAGAUUAUAGUGGGAAAACAAUACCAAUUAAGAAAAGUUAAGGUGUCAGAAUUAAAGGGAAAAUAGUUUUAAAGUUUGUUUGAUUGUUAAAUGCAAUCAUUAUGUGCAAGAGAUGUCGCACUCACAGGUUCUCAUCCUAGUGUGGUAUUUCAACCACUCAGAUAUCCUGGGAAAACAACAUGAUGAGCUGUAAGCAGUCCAGGAGCCUCCUGGAGUCCAUUGACAACAACUUGCUGGUGCAGGUAUUGGACAGACCCACCAGAAGUGAAGUAUUACUCUGUUCACCAACAUGGAGGAGAUGACAAA